GGGCUAUUCUACUUAUGUCAGAAAUAUUUUCGAGCAUAAAUUAAAUGCUAGAUUAGACAAGUAUAGGUUUGUAGGAUAUCUUAAGGAAACUAAUGAAUACUACUUCUACCAUCCUACUGAACAAAAGGUAUUUAUUAUUUAAUAUGCCACUUUCUUAAAAAAAAUAUAUAUCCAAAAAGGGGGUAGUGGGAGAAAUGUCAAACUCGAGAAAGUUC
This 215-nucleotide long non-coding RNA is filed under the name Elaeis guineensis (African oil palm). RNAcentral describes it as "long non-coding RNA (EGUI_LNC042427)". Lineage: Eukaryota; Viridiplantae; Streptophyta; Magnoliopsida; Arecales; Arecaceae. The record is from RNAcentral.